RNAcentral lists this ribosomal RNA (468 nucleotides) under uncultured bacterium. RNAcentral describes it as "partial 16S ribosomal RNA". It matches the Rfam family "Bacterial small subunit ribosomal RNA", at positions 28 to 507 of the family's 1533-position model. The record is from RNAcentral.
GACGAACGCUGGCGGCGUGCUUAACACAUGCAAGUCGAACGGAAAGGCCCUGCUUUUGUGGGGUGCUCGAGUGGCGAACGGGUGAGUAACACGUGAGUAACCUGCCCUUGACUUUGGGAUAACUUCAGGAAACUGGGGCUAAUACCGGAUAGGAGCUCCUGCUGCAUGGUGGGGGUUGGAAAGUUUCGGCGGUUGGGGAUGGACUCGCGGCUUAUCAGCUUGUUGGUGGGGUAGUGGCUUACCAAGGCUUUGACGGGUAGCCGGCCUGAGAGGGUGACCGGCCACAUUGGGACUGUGUUACGGCCCAGCCUCCUACGGGAGGCAGCAGUGGGGAAUUUUGCACAAUGGGCGGAAGCCUGUUGCAGCAACGCCGCGUGCGGGAUGACGGCCUUCGGGUUGUAAACCGCUUUCGCCUGUGCCGAACCGUGAGUGACGGUAAUGGGUAAAGAAGCACCGGCUAACUACGUG